Molecule: ribosomal RNA, 497 nt
Filed under: uncultured bacterium
Lineage: Bacteria
Description: partial 16S ribosomal RNA
Rfam family: Bacterial small subunit ribosomal RNA
Source: RNAcentral
GAUGAACGCUGGCGGCGUGCCUAAUACAUGCAAGUCGAGCGAACAGAUGAGGAGCUUGCUCCUCUGACGUUAGCGGCGGACGGGUGAGUAACACGUGGAUAACCUACCUAUAAGACUGGGAUAACUUCGGGAAACCGGAGCUAAUACCGGAUAAUAUAUUGAACCGCAUGGUUCAAUAGUGAAAGACGGUUUUGCUGUCACUUAUAGAUGGAUCCGCGCCGCAUUAGCUAGUUGGUAAGGUAACGGCUUACCAAGGCAACGAUGCGUAGCCGACCUGAGAGGGUGAUCGGCCACACGGGAACUGAGACACGGUCCAGACUCCUACGGGAGGCAGCAGUAGGGAAUCUUCCGCAAUGGGCGAAAGCCUGACGGAGCAACGCCGCGUGAGUGAUGAAAGUCUUCGGAUCGUAAAACUCUUUUAUUAGGGAAGAACAAAUGUGUAAGUAACUAUGCACGUCUUGACGGUACCUAAUCAGAAAGCCACGGCUAACUACGUG